AAAAGUUGUAUAAAAGGCGAGAGAAAAGUCGACAGGGAUCAGUCGAGCGAGUAUCUCCGACAUGGUAACAACUGCAGUGUACUAUUUCUUAUUUGCCAUCAGUUGCAUUCUUCAUCGUAUUUUCAGUUCUCAAUCAUGGUCGUACAUAAGGGCAAAGAAAAGGCGAAAGAAAUCAGUCAAAUGAGCAUCUCCGAUAUAGCAAAAGCAACUGCAAUGCACCGUGCACCAUUUGUCACCAACUGCAUUCUUCGUCGAAUUGCUAGUUUAUAUCAUGGCAAACUCUGGCGUCGUGCUGCAGUUUUGUGUUGUAUCGUUGAUGGCUGGGUCGGCCACUGGUGUACCGAUGUCUCCUGGGUAUGGCGACUAACAAAUCGAAACGGUGCCACCUUACAUACGACACGACCAGUUGCUACACCGAGGCCCCCAAGUACUGCACCAAUGCUCCAGAUUAUUAUACCACCACUGAUGCUGCCCUGAGCUACUACACCGAAUCCCCGCAAUAUUAUUUUUCCCCGAGCUACACUACCAAAGGAUCGAGUACUACACCGAGGCUUCGAAGUACUACACCACCAAGGCACCGGAGUACUGCACAACUACAUAUCAUGGCAACUACAGUGUCAAGGCUCAGUAUUACACCACAACUUAUGUUGCCCCGAGACUCUACACCAAAGCGCCUGAGUGCUGUACCGAGGGCACCAAUUUCUACACCACCAAGGCACCGGAGUACUACACUGAAACAUACGCUGCUCCAGCUUAUUACACCGAGGCUCCCCAACACUACACCACCAAGACACUGGAGUACUACACCACUACAUAUCACGUCGUAUGAAAGGAGCGAAAAGGUGAAAGAAUUCAGCAGCCCAGUGAGCAUCUCCGUUACAGCAACAGGAACUGCCGUGCACUUUUUGUCAUCAACUUCUUCGUCAUAUUACAAGUUUUAAAUAAAGUAAACUAUGGAGUAGUGCUGCUGUUGGGUGUUAUAUCGUUGAUGGCUGAGUCGACCACUGGUGUACCAAUGUCUCCUUGGUAUGGCGGGUACCAAAGCACAACACUGCCGUGCCGUCUUACUAUUUAGCAUCAACUUCCGCUGCUCCAGCUUACUGCACUAAGGCUCCUAAGUGCUACACCAUCAAGGCUCCAGAGUAUUACACCACAACUUGUGCUGCCCCGAUGUUACUACGCAGAAGCUCCGAAGUAUUUUUCUUCCCCGAGCUUCACUGCCUUCACCACGUCGCUUACUAAACAAUAACGUCAACACUUUCUUACUAUACGAAGGUCUCCAGUACUACGCCACAAAGGCUCCUGACUACUACACCGAGGAUCUAACUUGCACACAACGGAAGCGCCCAAGUACUGCACUACAACCUACGUUGCUCCAGCUUACACCACGAAGGCAGCGGAGUACUACACCACGAAGGCAGCGGAGUACUACACCACGAAGGCAGCGGAGUACUACACCACGAAGGCAGCGGAGUACUACACCACGAAGGCAGCGGAGUACUACACCACGAAGGCAGCGGAGUACUACACCACGAAGGCAGCGGAGUACUACACCACGAAGGCAGCGGAGUACUACACCACGAAGGCAGCGGAGUAGUACACCACUACUUACGUUACUACCUACACCGAAGCUCUGAAAGCAUUUCUCUGCCCCGACUUACUACACCACUAACGCAGCCGAAUAAACACCCCAAACUACGAUUCCUCAAUUUUCUACAAAGAAAUUCCUUAUUUUCUAGAGCCGAAAUUUCUACUCAAGGUUAUUUAUAUUUAUCGGUUAUUUUCAUGGUAAUUGGUCUCUGGGAAUUAAUUGUUGAUCUUAAAUGAGAAAAUAAAAGUUUUAAUACGGGUAA
Daphnia pulex (common water flea) is the source of this 1853-nucleotide long non-coding RNA. RefSeq lists it as uncharacterized. The transcript has 7 exons. The record is from RefSeq and is a predicted model, not a curated record. NCBI's taxonomy places the organism in Eukaryota, Metazoa, Arthropoda, Branchiopoda, Diplostraca, Daphniidae.